Long non-coding RNA from Mangifera indica (mango), 327 nucleotides. RefSeq lists it as uncharacterized. The transcript has 2 exons. Lineage: Eukaryota; Viridiplantae; Streptophyta; Magnoliopsida; Sapindales; Anacardiaceae. The record is from RefSeq and is a predicted model, not a curated record.
GUUUAUAGAUUAUUAAUGGAUACUUCUAAGAUUAAGAUCUGAUAGUAUUAAGUUUGAAUUAUGAUUGCUAGGACAACGUGAAGAUAUUGGUAUCUCGUUGGUUGAUUAAAGACAUAGUUAGAAAUUAUUGAGAAUAAGUUUUCUAGAUUAGCUAGGAGGGGUGGAAUAAAAUAAACUCAAGCUGAGUUGGGAGAUUGAAGAGUUUUGAUGUCUAGAUUUUAUUGUUUAUGAAUAUUGUAAUUGUGGAUUAUUUAGAAUGUGUGAUUAUGUUUAAUUAUUUUCUUUUUGGGGAUUAUUUUGGCAAAAAUAAGAUUAUAUUAUGCUAUA